This 1737-nucleotide ribosomal RNA is filed under the name Panagrellus redivivus. RNAcentral's name for it is "SSU rRNA". It matches the Rfam family "Eukaryotic small subunit ribosomal RNA". Lineage: Eukaryota; Metazoa; Nematoda; Chromadorea; Rhabditida; Panagrolaimidae. The record is from RNAcentral.
AUGCAUGUCUAAGUACAUGUAGCUUGCCUACGAAACCGCGUAUGGCUCAUUACAACAGCUAUGAUUCUAUUGAUCAUGACACUUUCCUAUAUGGAUAACUGCGGUAAUUCUGGAGCUAAUACAUGCAUAAAAGCGGGGUCACUCGUUGGCACCGUGCACUUAUUAGAACAAAACCAACUUGUUGAUUUUGUUGACUCGGAAUAAUUAUUACGCUGAUUGCAUGGCCUUUGUGCCGGCAAUGUGUCAAAGCUGUGUCUGCCCUAUCACACUUCCAACGGCAGUGUAUUGUCCUGACGUGGUUGUGACGGGUAACGGAGAAUUAGGGUUCGACUCCGGAGAAAUAGCCUGAGAAACGGCUUUUACAUCCAAGGAAGGCAGCAGGCGCGAAAAUUACCCACUCUUAGUACGAGGAGGUAGUGACGAGAAGUGACAAGAUCUGUCCCUUCGGGGGCGGGUCAUUGGAAUGGUUUGAAUUUACAACCUUCCUAGAUUAUCUAUGAGAGGGCAAGUCUGGUGCCAGCAGCCGCGGUAAUUCCAGCUCUCAUACUGCAUUGAAUCGUUGUUGCGGUUAAAAAGCUCGUAGUUGGAUCUGUACACGGUGUCUGUGGACUGCUCCUAGUGGGUGGUUCUGCAGCACGUGUUUAAUGGUCGGUGUGUGGCGGAUCCCUCGGGGUUCGUCGCUGCUGACGAGUUUACUUUGAAUAAAUCAGAGUGCUCAAAACAGGCGUAUGCUUGUAUGGUUUUGCAUGGAAUAAUGGAAUACGACACUGCGUGUGAUUGUUUUUCAUUGGUUUUGCUCACCAGUGUAAUGAUUAAAAGGGACAAACGGGGGCAUUCGUAUCGUCGGGCGAGAGGUGAAAUUCGUGGACCCUGGCGAGACGUACUACAGCGAAAGCAUUUGCCAAGAAUGUUUUCAUUAAUCAAGAACGAAAGUCAGAGGAUCGAAGGCGAUCAGAUACCGCCCUAGUUCUGACCGUAAACUAUGCCAUCUAGCGAGUCGCAUGCGGAUUUUCUUAUUCGCCUCUGUGACGAGCUUUCCGGAAACGAAAGUCUUUCGGUUCCGGGGGAAGUAUUCUCGCAAGUGACAAACUUAAAGGAGUUGACGGAAGGUCACCACCAGAAAUGGAGCCUGCGGCUUAAUUUGACUCAACACGGGAAACCUUACCUGGUCUAGACACUGCUAUGAAUGACAGAUUGACAGCUCUUUCCUGAUUCGGUGAUUGGUGGUGCAUGGCCGUUCUUAGUUCGUGGAGUGAUUUGUCUGGUUAAUUCCGAUAACGAACGAGAUUGGAGCUUGAUUAAAUAGGUCAGUAUACUAUUGCUGGAACUGAACCUUCUUAAUGGGAUUUGCAGCUUUAUUCUAGUUGUAUGAGACCCAGCAAUAACAGGUCUGUGAUGCCCUAAGAUGUCUGGGGCCGCACGCGCGCUACAAUGAAAAUUGCAGCGCGCUGUGCCCAUGCGAGAGAUCGUAUGGUAAACGAGUCAAAUUAUCCCGUAUUUGGGAUCAGAGAUUGCAAUUAUUCUCUGUGAACAAGGAACUUCAAGUAAGUGUGAGUCAUCAGCUCACGCUGAUUACGUCCCUGUCCUUUGUACACACCGCCCGUCGCUGCCCGGGGACUGAGUUGAUUCGAGAAGACCGUGGAUUGUUGCUUAGGCGUGUCCUUCGGGGCCCCUUUGUGGCGAAAAGCGGUUUGAUCGCGUUGGCUUGAACCGGGCAAAAGUCGUAACAAGGUGGCC